This 195-nucleotide ribosomal RNA is filed under the name Lodderomyces orthopsilosis. Its description in RNAcentral is "Candida orthopsilosis partial 28S ribosomal RNA". It matches the Rfam family "Eukaryotic large subunit ribosomal RNA", at positions 1 to 189 of the family's 3401-position model. Lineage: Eukaryota; Fungi; Ascomycota; Pichiomycetes; Serinales; Debaryomycetaceae. The record is from RNAcentral.
UUCGACCUCAAAUUCAGGUAGGACUACCCGCUGAACUUAAGCAUAUCAAUAAGCGGAGGAAAAGAAACCAAUCAGGGAUUGCCUUAGUAGCGGCGAGUGAAGCGGCAAAAGCUCAAAUUUGAAAUCUGGCACUUUCAGUGUCCGAGAUUGUAAUUUGAAGAAGGUAUCUUUGGGUCUGGCUCUUGUCUAUGUUUC